ACGGAAGGCAGCAGCUAAGAAUAUUCCGCAUGGACGAAAGUCUGACGGAGCGACGCCGCGUGUACGAUGAAGGUCGGACGAUUGUAAAGUACUUUUAUGCAUGAGGAAUAAAGCGGGUAGGGAAUGACCUGCAGGUGACUGUAGUGCAUGAAUAAGCAACGGCUAAUUACGUGCCAGCAGCCGCGGUAACACGUAAGUUGCGAGCGUUGUUCGGAAUUAUUGGGCGUAAAGGGCAUGUAGGCAGUUAUGCAAGUAUGGUGUGAAAGGCAGGAGCUCAACUACUGGACGGCGCCGGAAAAGGUAAAACUAGAGUGACUGAGGAGCAAUCAGAAUUCCAGGUGUAGGGGUGAAAUCUGUAGAUAUCUGGAAGAAUACCAAUGGCGAAUGCAGGUUGCGAGCAGAUGACUGACGCUGCGGUGCGAAGGUGCGGGGAGCAAACAGGAUUAGAUACCCUGGUA
This 458-nucleotide ribosomal RNA is filed under the name uncultured Treponema sp. Its description in RNAcentral is "partial 16S ribosomal RNA". It matches the Rfam family "Bacterial small subunit ribosomal RNA", at positions 341 to 792 of the family's 1533-position model. The record is from RNAcentral. Lineage: Bacteria; Pseudomonadati; Spirochaetota; Spirochaetia; Treponematales; Treponemataceae.